This 519-nucleotide ribosomal RNA is filed under the name Bacillus mycoides. Its description in RNAcentral is "bacterial SSU rRNA". It matches the Rfam family "Bacterial small subunit ribosomal RNA", at positions 14 to 514 of the family's 1533-position model. Lineage: Bacteria; Bacillati; Bacillota; Bacilli; Caryophanales; Bacillaceae. The record is from RNAcentral.
UGACCUGGCUCAGGAUGAACGCUGGCGGCGUGCCUAAUACAUGCAAGUCGAGCGAAUGGAUUAAGAGCUUGCUCUUAUGAAGUUAGCGGCGGACGGGUGAGUAACACGUGGGUAACCUGCCCAUAAGACUGGGAUAACUCCGGGAAACCGGGGCUAAUACCGGAUAAUAUUUUUCACUGCAUAGUGAAAAAUUGAAAGGCGGCUUCGGCUGUCACUUAUGGAUGGACCCGCGUCGCAUUAGCUAGUUGGUGAGGUAACGGCUCACCAAGGCGACGAUGCGUAGCCGACCUGAGAGGGUGAUCGGCCACACUGGGACUGAGACACGGCCCAGACUCCUACGGGAGGCAGCAGUAGGGAAUCUUCCGCAAUGGACGAAAGUCUGACGGAGCAACGCCGCGUGAGUGAUGAAGGCUUUCGGGUCGUAAAACUCUGUUGUUAGGGAAGAACAAGUGCUAGUUGAAUAAGCUGGCACCUUGACGGUACCUAACCAGAAAGCCACGGCUAACUACGUGCCAGCCG